AGCGUGCGCAGGCAUUUAAGUAAGACAAAUGUCCAUCCCCUGACUUAGCCUGGCGACUGCAUUNGUGCCAGCAUGGCUGAAGUGCGGCAAGGGGGGAUGUACUUCGCAGUGUAGCAGUGAAAUGCGUAGAUAUGCGGAUGCACAUCGAUGGCGAAGGCANUCCCCCGGUCCUGCACUUACGCUCAUGCACGAAAGCGUGGGGAGCAAUCUGGAUUAGAUACCCUGGUAGUCCACGCCCUAAGCGAUGUCAACCGGUUGUUCCGUCGGCAUUUUCUCACUACCGCAGCUCAGCUAGUGAAGUUGACCGCCUGGGGAGUGCGNCCGCAAGGUUGUAACUCAAAGGAAUUGACGCGGACCCGCACAAGCGGUGGAUGAUGUGGUUUAAUUCGAUGCAACGCGAAAAACCUUACCCACCCCUGACAUGUAUGGAAUCCUGUAGAGAUUGGGGAGUGCUCGAAAGAGACCCAGAACACAGGUGGUGCAUGGCCGUCGUCAGUUCGUGUCGUGAGAUGUUGGGCUAAGUCCCGCAACGAGCGCAUCCCUUGUCAUUAGUAGCUUCGAAAGGGCACUCUAAUGAGACUGCCGGUGACAAACCGGAGGAAGGUGGGGAUGACGUCAAGUCAUCAUGGCCCUUAUGGCCAGGGCUACACACGUCAUCCAAUGGUUGGUACAGACGGUUGCCAACCCGCGAGGGGGAGAUAAUCUCAGAAAGCCGGUAGUAGUCCGGAUGGCAGUCUGCAUCUCGAUCUGCGUGAAGUCGGAAUCGCUAGUAAUCCCGGAUCAGAAUGCCGCGGUGAAUACGUUCCCGGGUCUCGUACACACCGCCCGUCACACCAUGGGAGCGGGUUGCNCCAGAAGUAGGUAGCCUAUCUGUAUAGGAGGNNCGAUUGACGCAUCGUACCGUUCAUGAACUGGGUUCAAGUCCGAAAGGACCUUUCCACCCUUU
Molecule: ribosomal RNA, 946 nt
Filed under: uncultured Leptothrix sp.
Lineage: Bacteria; Pseudomonadati; Pseudomonadota; Betaproteobacteria; Burkholderiales; Sphaerotilaceae
Description: bacterial SSU rRNA
Rfam family: Bacterial small subunit ribosomal RNA
Source: RNAcentral